AUGAACCCCGCCUCAGCCCUGGGGCCGGACGGCCUGCCAGUAACGUUUUUUAAGACGUUCUGGCAGACCAUCAAGCCAGAGGUCAUGGCUCUGUUUGAGGAAUUCUUCUCGGGUUCCAUGGAUCUUGGGCGCCUUAACUAUGGCAUCGUGACCCUCAUCCCCAAGGUCCCGGGCGCCUCCGACAUCUGCCAAUUUCGUCCUAUCACUGUGAUCAAUGUGAUUUCCCGGAUCUUGGCUAAAGGGUACGCCAAUAGGGUGACCCUGCUCGCGGAUGCCAUUACCCACCCGAAUCAAUCCACCUUCAUUCAAGGCCGAUUUAUUCUUGAUGGGGUUCUG
RNAcentral lists this ribosomal RNA (336 nucleotides) under Triticum aestivum (bread wheat). RNAcentral's name for it is "partial small subunit ribosomal RNA". The record is from RNAcentral. Lineage: Eukaryota; Viridiplantae; Streptophyta; Magnoliopsida; Poales; Poaceae.